UUUUUGUUAAGAAUUUGAUCCUGGUUCAGGGUGAAUGCUAGCGGCGUGCCUAAGGUAUGCAAGUCAAACUCGCGUAAGCGGGUGGCGAACGGCUGAGUAAUACGUAGGAAUCUACCUCUAAGUAAGGCAUAGCCCGCCGAAAGGCGGGGUAAUUCCUUAUGUGGUGGCAACACUAAAGAUAAUUAAAUAUCUUUGCGAUUGAGUCGUGGUUCGAUUUUUCGAACUAUGUCAUCAAUCUAAAAGAUUUAUCGCUUAGAGAUGAGCCUACGGCCUAUCAGGUAGUUGGUUGGGUAAAUGCCUACCAAGCCUAUGACGGGUAGCUGGUAUAAGAGUAUGACCAGCCAGAGGGGCACUGAGACACGGGCCUCACCCCUACGGGGGGCAGCAAUCGGGAAUUUUGCGCAAUGGGCGAAAGCCUGACGCAGCGACGCCGCGUGAAGGAUUAAGGCCUUCGGGUUGUAAACUUCGUUGUAAGCACCGGCUAACUACGUGCCAGCAGCAGCGGUCAUACGUAGGGUGCAAGCAUUACCCGGUCUUAUUGGGCGUAAAGAGUUCUGUAGGCGGUUGAACAAGUUGGAAGUUAAAUACCUCGGCUCAACCGAGGUAGGGCUUUCAAUACUGUUUAGCUAAGAGGUGACUAGGGGAUAGCGGAACGCAUGGUGUAGCAGUGAAAUGCGUUGAUAUCAUGCGGAACACCAAGGGGGAAGCCAGCUAUCUGGGGUUAUCCUGACGCUGAGAGACGAAAGCGUGGGGAGCGAAACGGAUUAGAUACCCGUGUAGUCCACGCUGUAAACCAUGCCUGCUAGAUGCUCCGUUUUCGGAGUGUCGAAGCUAACGCGUUAAGCAGGCCGCCUGGGAAGUACGAUCGCAAGAUUAAAACUCAAAGGAAUUGGCGGGGACCCGCACAAGCGGUGGAGCAUGCUCUUUAAUUGGCUGAUAACCCAAGAACCUUACCAGGGCUUGACAUGCAUAAAGUAGUGAACCGAAAGGGGAACGACCGGUAUCCAGUCCGGAGUUUGCACAGGUGUUGCAUGGCUGUCGUCAGUUCGUACCGUGAGGCGUACCCUUAAGUGGGUUAACGAACGCAACCCCUACUGUCAGUUGUAUCACUCUGACGGAACUGCCUCGGUAACGAGGAGGAAGGUGGGGAUGACGUCAAGUCAGUAUUGCUCUUACGCUCUGGGCUAGAAGCAUGCUACAAUGGGGUCGACAGCGCGAAGCGAAGAGGCGACUCGGAGCAAAUCGCUAAACGACCUCUCAGUUCGGAUUGGAGUCUGCAAUUCGACUCCAUGAAGUUGGAAUCGCUAGUAAUCGGCGGUCAGCUAUACGCCGGUGAAUACGUUCUCGGGUCUUGCACACACUGCCCGUCACGUCAGCAAAGCUGGGGCCACCCGAAGUCUCAUUUUGUAUGGGCUCACGGUGGAAUCAGUGAUGAGGAUGAAGUCGAAACAAGGUAGCCGUAGGGGAAUCUGCGGCUGGAUCACCUCCUUUCU
RNAcentral lists this ribosomal RNA (1493 nucleotides) under uncultured candidate division WWE3 bacterium. Its description in RNAcentral is "16S ribosomal RNA". It matches the Rfam family "Bacterial small subunit ribosomal RNA". The record is from RNAcentral. Lineage: Bacteria; candidate division WWE3.